Hibiscus syriacus is the source of this 206-nucleotide long non-coding RNA. RefSeq lists it as uncharacterized. Lineage: Eukaryota; Viridiplantae; Streptophyta; Magnoliopsida; Malvales; Malvaceae. The transcript is spliced from 2 exons. The record is from RefSeq and is a predicted model, not a curated record.
AAAUUAAGGACAAGUACAACCAGCUACAUGGAUGCUAGAAGUGAGCUCUGUACCUGCUGAAGUUAGGCUCGGAAUGGACUUUGCCGAACACUAUAAAUCAUCAUCCUUGUAUCGGAGAAACAAGGCAUUAGUAAAUGAGUUAAGCACACCACCCCCGGGAGUGAAAGACUCUAUUUCACCACUCAGUACUCGCAAUCAACAUGGGG